CCUACGGGAGGCAGCAGUGAGGAAUAUUGGUCAAUGGACGAGAGUCUGAACCAGCCAAGUAGCGUGAAGGAUGACUGCCCUAUGGGUUGUAAACUUCUUUUAUCUGGGAAUAAAAUGUUCCACGUGUGGGCUUUUGUAUGUACCAUAUGAAUAAGGAUCGGCUAACUCCGUGCCAGCAGCCGCGGUAAUACGGAGGAUCCGAGCGUUAUCCGGAUUUAUUGGGUUUAAAGGGAGCGUAGGUGGAUUGUUAAGUCAGUUGUGAAAGUUUGCGGCUCAACCGGAAAAUUGCAGUUGAAACUGGCAGUCUUGAGUACAGUAGAGGUGGGCGGAAUUCGUGGUGUAGCGGUGAAAUGCUUAGAUAUCACGAAGAACUCCGAUUGCGAAGGCAGCUCACUGGACUGCAACUGACGCUGAGGCUCGAAAGUGUGGGUAUCAAACAGGAUUAGAUACCCUUGUAGUC
This 460-nucleotide ribosomal RNA is filed under the name uncultured bacterium. RNAcentral describes it as "partial 16S ribosomal RNA". It matches the Rfam family "Bacterial small subunit ribosomal RNA", at positions 338 to 795 of the family's 1533-position model. The record is from RNAcentral.